Molecule: ribosomal RNA, 253 nt
Filed under: uncultured bacterium
Lineage: Bacteria
Also listed under: 1 other name
Description: partial 16S ribosomal RNA
Rfam family: Bacterial small subunit ribosomal RNA
Source: RNAcentral
UACGAAGGGGGCUAGCGUUGUUCGGAUUUACUGGGCGUAAAGCGCACGUAGGCGGUUUGUUAAGUCAGGGGUGAAAUCCUGGAGCUCAACUCCAGAACUGCCUUUGAUACUGGCAAGCUAGAGUCCGGAAGAGGUAAGUGGAACUCCUAGUGUAGAGGUGGAAUUCGUAGAUAUUAGGAAGAACACCAGUGGCGAAGGCGGCUUACUGGUCCGGAACUGACGCUGAGGUGCGAAAGCGUGGGGAGCAAACAGG